Molecule: ribosomal RNA, 253 nt
Filed under: uncultured bacterium
Lineage: Bacteria
Description: partial 16S ribosomal RNA
Rfam family: Bacterial small subunit ribosomal RNA
Source: RNAcentral
UACGUAGGGUGCGAGCGUUAAUCGGAAUUACUGGGCGUAAAGCGUGCGCAGGCGGUUUUGUAAGCCAGAUGUGAAAUCCCCGGGCUCAACCUGGGAAUGGCAUUUGGGACUGCAAGGCUGGAGUGCGGCAGAGGAGACUGGAAUUCCUGGUGUAGCAGUGAAAUGCGUAGAUAUCAGGAGGAAUACCGAUGGCGAAGGCAGCCCCCUGGGCCAACACUGACGCUCAGGCACGAAAGCGUGGGGAGCAAACAGG